RNAcentral lists this ribosomal RNA (1355 nucleotides) under Salmonella enterica subsp. enterica serovar Enteritidis. Its description in RNAcentral is "partial 23S ribosomal RNA". It matches the Rfam family "Bacterial large subunit ribosomal RNA", at positions 1538 to 2867 of the family's 2925-position model. Lineage: Bacteria; Pseudomonadati; Pseudomonadota; Gammaproteobacteria; Enterobacterales; Enterobacteriaceae. The record is from RNAcentral.
AAAUCCGGUUCACUUUAACACUGAGGCGUGACGACGAGGCACUACGGUGCUGAAGCAACAAAUGCCCUGCUUCCAGGAAAAGCCUCUAAGCAUCAGGUAACAUCAAAUCGUACCCCAAACCGACACAGGUGGUCAGGUAGAGAAUACCAAGGCGCUUGAGAGAACUCGGGUGAAGGAACUAGGCAAAAUGGUGCCGUAACUUCGGGAGAAGGCACGCUGACACGUAGGUGAAGUGAUUUACUCAUGGAGCUGAAGUCAGUCGAAGAUACCAGCUGGCUGCAACUGUUUAUUAAAAACACAGCACUGUGCAAACACGAAAGUGGACGUAUACGGUGUGACGCCUGCCCGGUGCCGGAAGGUUAAUUGAUGGGGUCAGCGCAAGCGAAGCUCCUGAUCGAAGCCCCGGUAAACGGCGGCCGUAACUAUAACGGUCCUAAGGUAGCGAAAUUCCUUGUCGGGUAAGUUCCGACCUGCACGAAUGGCGUAAUGAUGGCCAGGCUGUCUCCACCCGAGACUCAGUGAAAUUGAACUCGCUGUGAAGAUGCAGUGUACCCGCGGCAAGACGGAAAGACCCCGUGAACCUUUACUAUAGCUUGACACUGAACAUUGAGCCUUGAUGUGUAGGAUAGGUGGGAGGCUUUGAAGUGUGGACGCCAGUCUGCAUGGAGCCGACCUUGAAAUACCACCCUUUAAUGUUUGAUGUUCUAACGUGGACCCGUUACCCGGGUUGCGGACAGUGUCUGGUGGGUAGUUUGACUGGGGCGGUCUCCUCCUAAAGAGUAACGGAGGAGCACGAAGGUUGGCUAAUCCUGGUCGGACAUCAGGAGGUUAGUGCAAUGGCAUAAGCCAGCUUGACUGCGAGCGUGACGGCGCGAGCAGGUGCGAAAGCAGGUCAUAGUGAUCCGGUGGUUCUGAAUGGAAGGGCCAUCGCUCAACGGAUAAAAGGUACUCCGGGGAUAACAGGCUGAUACCGCCCAAGAGUUCAUAUCGACGGCGGUGUUUGGCACCUCGAUGUCGGCUCAUCACAUCCUGGGGCUGAAGUAGGUCCCAAGGGUAUGGCUGUUCGCCAUUUAAAGUGGUACGCGAGCUGGGUUUAGAACGUCGUGAGACAGUUCGGUCCCUAUCUGCCGUGGGCGCUGGAGAACUGAGGGGGGCUGCUCCUAGUACGAGAGGACCGGAGUGGACGCAUCACUGGUGUUCGGGUUGUCAUGCCAAUGGCACUGCCCGGUAGCUAAAUGCGGAAGAGAUAAGUGCUGAAAGCAUCUAAGCACGAAACUUGCCCCGAGAUGAGUUCUCCCUGAGACUUAGAGUCUCCUGAAGGAACGUUGAAGACGACGACGUUGAUAGGCCGGGUG